GCACUGCCUUUGAGUCCCCGCUGCGCCUGCGUGUGUCGCGGGGGGGGGGGGGGGGGGAUGCCGGGGGGUCAGGCUGCAGCGCCAGAGCAGUUGCUUGCGCACAACUGGAGCCCACGACCCUUUUAACCACAAGUGACACGG
This is a small nucleolar RNA of Myotis daubentonii (Daubenton's bat), 141 nucleotides long. NCBI's taxonomy places the organism in Eukaryota, Metazoa, Chordata, Mammalia, Chiroptera, Vespertilionidae. The record is from RefSeq and is a predicted model, not a curated record.